CGUGUAGGCGGCUUUUUAAGUUGAUGGUGAAAUCUCCCGGCUCAACCGGGAGGGGUCUGUCAAUACUGGGAAGCUUGAGGACAGCAGAGGAGGGUAGAAUUCCCGGUGUAGCGGUGAAAUGCGUAGAUAUCGGGAGGAAUACCAGUGGCGAAGGCGGCCCUCUGGGCUGCUCCUGACGCUGAGGCGCUAAAGCGUGGGGAGCGAAGC
RNAcentral lists this ribosomal RNA (207 nucleotides) under uncultured bacterium. Its description in RNAcentral is "partial 16S ribosomal RNA". It matches the Rfam family "Bacterial small subunit ribosomal RNA", at positions 568 to 774 of the family's 1533-position model. The record is from RNAcentral.